GGCAGAGCCAGCCUUAUCCGGCUCCGGCUGGCUA
RNAcentral lists this small RNA (34 nucleotides) under Paenibacillus sp. P22. Lineage: Bacteria; Bacillati; Bacillota; Bacilli; Caryophanales; Paenibacillaceae. The record is from RNAcentral.